This 501-nucleotide ribosomal RNA is filed under the name uncultured bacterium. RNAcentral's name for it is "bacterial SSU rRNA". It matches the Rfam family "Bacterial small subunit ribosomal RNA", at positions 8 to 518 of the family's 1533-position model. The record is from RNAcentral.
AGAGUUUGAUUCUGGCUCGGGAUGAACGCUGGCGGCGUGCUUAACACAUGCAAGUCGAACGGAGAUAGCGGAGAGCUUGCUCUCUUCUAUCUUAGGUGGCGGACGGGUGAGUAACGCGUGGGUAACCUACCCUGUACAGGGGGAUAGCAGUUGGAAACGACUGAUAAAACCGCAUAAAACGGCAGUACCGCAUGGUACAACCGCCAAAUAUUCAUAGGUACAGGAUGGGCCCGCGUCUGAUUAGCUAGUUGGUGGGGCAACGGCCUACCAAGGCGACGAUCAGUAGCCGGCCUGAGAGGGUGAACGGCCACAUUGGGACUGAGACACGGCCCAAACUCCUACGGGAGGCAGCAGUGGGGAAUAUUGGACAAUGGGGGAAACCCUGAUCCAGCCGACGCCGCGUGAGUGAAGAAGUAUUUCGGUAUGUAAAGCUCUAUCAGCAGGGAAGAUGAUGACGGUACCUGACUAAGAAGCACCGGCUAAAUACGUGCCAGCCGCGGC